RNAcentral lists this long non-coding RNA (325 nucleotides) under Dermacentor andersoni. RNAcentral's name for it is "uncharacterized LOC126516777". Lineage: Eukaryota; Metazoa; Arthropoda; Arachnida; Ixodida; Ixodidae. The record is from RNAcentral.
GUAUGAAUGCGCGUUUGUGCAGUUGACACUUUCGCGCGUGCCAGGAGUUCGUGCGCCCGGUUUGGUUGGCUUGGAUAGCUUCCUGUUCUGCGUUCGUUGUGUGCCUCGCUGUUGGAAUAUUCCUGCUUGUUGCUCGUUUUUUAUGGGCUUCUUGUUGCCUCGAAAAUCGCCAUGAUUGCCUCCGACUCAGCCACAUCAAAGAUUCAGAACGAGUCGGGAGACACCAUAGCCGGAACGCGAAAGGGAGCAGAAGAAAAACAUUGCUGAUGCAACCGCAAGCAUUCCUUCCAUUGAUGAAUUGGUGCACAGUGCCUUCGGUAGCUGA